UGUAAACGGUUACGAAAACACGCAAUACACACAAGUAAUACAAAGCAACCAAAGAGAGAAAAAAAAAAGGUGAUUUUCAAGUCUGUUUAUCCGUUUGUCUUCCUUCUCAUUGCCUUAUGAUUUUAGCAUAAAGAAAGAAAUGUUUGGAACGACACCAAUGAAGUCCCGAAUAUCUCAGAAAUAUUGAGAUACGGAUGAGGGUCGGAUGACAUUAAGUUUUUUUUUACAUUCGGUUUCAUCCUUUUUUUUAGAACGGUAUUAGAUCUAGGUUUUUUAAGAAAAGAGAAAGAAAAAAAUAAGAUAGCAUACCUAGUCCCUCGCAUGGUGCCGUCGUCGGGGGAAUCUGGUCGCUGCUCGUGCAUCGCUGGCCACCGAAUGAAAUGGUGGAUCGGCGGUCGCUGGAAUGAGCCCUAACAAGUCGUCUUUGGGGCUGCAAAUCAGGGUAAAAUGUGGACUGCAUUUGGAAGAAAGGAAAAUGAAAAAAGGGUUUCAAAU
This 495-nucleotide long non-coding RNA is filed under the name Gossypium barbadense (sea-island cotton). Its description in RNAcentral is "long non-coding RNA (GBAR_LNC009429)". Lineage: Eukaryota; Viridiplantae; Streptophyta; Magnoliopsida; Malvales; Malvaceae. The record is from RNAcentral.